This 329-nucleotide unclassified non-coding RNA is filed under the name soil metagenome. RNAcentral describes it as "partial contains 5.8S ribosomal RNA, internal transcribed spacer 2, and large subunit ribosomal RNA". The stretch from base 1 to 120 matches the Rfam family "5.8S ribosomal RNA", at positions 35 to 154 of the family's 154-position model. The record is from RNAcentral.
GAUGAAGAACGUAGUGAAAUGCGAUAAGUAGUGUGAAUUGCAGAAUUCAGUGAAUCAUCGAAUCUUUGAACGCACAUUGCGCCCCUUGGUAUCCCGAGGGGCAUGCCUGUUCGAGCGUCAUUUCACCACUCAAGCCUGGCUUGGUGUUGGGCGACGUCCCCUUUAGGGACGCGCCUCGAAACGCUCGGCGGCGUGGCACCGGCUUUAAGCGUAGCAGAAUCUUUCGCUUUGGAAGUCGGGGCCCCGUCUGCCGGAAGACCUACUCGCAAGGUUGACCUCGGAUCAGGCAGGGAUACCCGCUGAACUUAAGCAUAUCAAUAAGCGGAGGA